Long non-coding RNA from Musa acuminata AAA Group (dessert banana), 624 nucleotides. RefSeq lists it as uncharacterized. The record is from RefSeq and is a predicted model, not a curated record. NCBI's taxonomy places the organism in Eukaryota, Viridiplantae, Streptophyta, Magnoliopsida, Zingiberales, Musaceae. The transcript is spliced from 2 exons.
UUGGACACCAAAAUAAUUUUUUUGGGGGACUUUGAGAGCUGACUUUUAUUCGGUAUGCUAACCGAGAGUGAUCGUAUCCCAUUCUAUUUAAUCUUCUAUUUAGCCGGAGCCUCCACGUAACGUCUAAUAGUUCUGGUCACCGCAGCUGAUUCUAAGAAUACGGAAUUUGAAGGUUUUGACGACAAAAAAAAUUUUUUUGGCACUCCGAUUGAGCUGGCUGGCCUCCGGUAAGAACACGGGCGAUUUAUCGUACCCUUUGGUGUUUUCUUCCUUUUCUCUUUAGUUUUCCCCCCCGCCCUUCCCCACGUUGCUGGAGACGCUAAAUGGAGGGAGGCGACGCUUUUCCUCGAUCGAAGCAUCGAGAGGGGAGGUUUCGAUUGACCAUGUCCGCCCUUGUCUUAGAUCGAUCAUGGUUUCCUGCAUCGCUCGGUUUCGUUGUCGUCGUCUCCGAGAACGAUUCUUGAAAGAAUCGACGAGAUUUCUAAGUGCCGCGAGGCCUUCUUCUUCGUGGAUGAUCUGGGUUUCAGAACACUUCAUCUUCUCGAUCGUCACAGCAAGAUUAGUGUUUGCCGGAAUUGUAUCAGCGACAUCUCAGCGUUAAAUUGUCGUGGCGACUUUUCCUCA